RNAcentral lists this long non-coding RNA (1436 nucleotides) under Macaca mulatta (Rhesus monkey). Its description in RNAcentral is "lncRNA (ENSMMUG00000064798.1)". The record is from RNAcentral. Lineage: Eukaryota; Metazoa; Chordata; Mammalia; Primates; Cercopithecidae.
AGUGGAGGCCAAGAGGAGCUGCGCGGCAGCUGGGCGGAGUGGGAGGCGCCUGGCGGUUUCGCGAUUUCUGACUUUUGAUUGCGAGCGGGAGCAGCGCGCUGGCGGGAGCUGCAGGGCGAAUAACCCGCCAAGUUGCUUCGGUGUGUGGUAGUUGCUGCCGUUCUGCAGCUGCGAGGUGGGCGACGAUGGCGGGACGAGCAUCCAGGCGGGAUCCGCUGACCGCAGCAGAGAGAGCUCCACCCGUAUGAUGCAGAGACCCAGUCCCAGAGCAGGCUGCACCCGCGUCUGCGUGAAGUCUACAGAUACUUGGCCUGCUCUGCAAAUGAACUAACUUCGCAGAGGGGCUGGCGAACACAGACAGUGCAAGCCUGGAGGAGGAAGCGGCCAGCACUGCUUAGGCCGGGUUCUCAGGACGCGCAUUACUGAAUGAGUUGAAGAUGAAUCUAAAUGGUGGUUCAAGUAUGUCCUUUGUUCACCGUAGUGGACCAUCGUGGGAGCUUCGUGGAGUGCUUCCUCAGACUGCAACUCUACCCCCGUUCAUGGGAGAUUUGCAAAGAAAGAGGACUCUUAACUGCAGGAGAAGAGGGAAGAAAAUACAAGGAAGAAAUUCUACAGCUCUUGGAUGCUGUAUGGGUCCUGAAACAGGUGGCAGUAAUGCACUGCAAAGGGCACCCAAAAGCAGGAACACUAGAAGCAAAAGGAAACAGGAAGGCAGACAAAGUGGCACAAUGGGCAGCAAUGGCAUCUCUGCCUUCUAGAGCAGAAGCGUUAGCUAUGCCUCUCCUCCCGAAGAUCCCCCUCCCGGAGACCACAAGCUGCACUUCAAAUGAAAGAACCUGGUUUGCCCCGGAGACUGGGAAUUACAUUAGAGGAGGAUGGUGACAAUUCUCCGAUGGGAGGCUAGCCGUACCUGAAAUGGUGGCCCCCAGGUUUGUGAAACAGUUCCAACAAGGAACUCGUACGAAAACAAUGGCACUAGAAAAAUUGCUAAGACGCCAUUGCUAUGUGCCACAGCUCACUGCCAUUACCUGAGGACUUUGUGAACAAUAUCUAACAUGUGCCAAGAACAACCCUCAGCACAGGCCUACCCAGCCCCCGGGAAUUCUGGAGAUGGGAGCCACAUCCUGUGAAACUUUGUUUCUGGAUUUUAAUGAGCUGCCUUGAGCAGAGGGCUCUCCGUACGUGUUGGUGUUCAUUUGCACCUUUUUGGGGUGGGUUGAGGCUUUCCUGACCUGGAUAGAGAAGGCACGAGAGGUAACCAAGGUGUUGUUAAAAGACCUUAUUUCCAGAUUUGGACUAACCCUUACUCUGGGGUCAGAAAAUGGACCAGCGUUUAUGGCUGAAAUAGUUGAGGACUUCACUUGGCUAUAACAAACCUGCACGUUAUCCACAUGUACCCUAGAACUUAAAGUAUAAUAAAAAAUAAAAAUAAAAAA